This 107-nucleotide small nuclear RNA is filed under the name Sciurus vulgaris (Eurasian red squirrel). Lineage: Eukaryota; Metazoa; Chordata; Mammalia; Rodentia; Sciuridae. The record is from RNAcentral.
GUGCUUGCUUUGGCAACACAUAUACUAAAAUUGGAACCAUACAGAGAAGAUUAGCAUGGCCCCUGCAUGAGCAUGACAUGCAAAUUCGUGAAGCAUUCCAUAUUUUU